CCUACGGGAGGCAGCAGUAGGGAACCUUUCACAAUGGGCGAAAGCCUGAUGGAGCAACGCCGCGUGCAGGAUGAAGACCUUCGGGUUGUAAACUGCUUUUAUAAGCGAGAAAUAUGAUGGUAACUUAUGAAUAAGGAUCGGCUAACUACGUGCCAGCAGCCGCGGUCAUACGUAGGAUCCGAGCAUUAUCCGGAGUGACUGGGUGUAAAGAGUUGCGUAGGUGGCAUAAUAAGUAGCUAGUGAAAUCUGGUGGCUCAACCAUUCAGACUAUUAGCUAAACUGUUAAGCUCGAGACCGUUAGGGGUAACUGGAGUUUCUAGUGUAGGAGUGAAAUCCGUAGAUAUUAGAAGGAACACCAAUAGCGUAGGCAGGUUGCUGGGACGGUUCUGACACUAAGGCACGAAAGCGUAGGGAGCAAACGGGAUUAGAUACCCCUGUAGUC
Molecule: ribosomal RNA, 442 nt
Filed under: uncultured bacterium
Lineage: Bacteria
Description: partial 16S ribosomal RNA
Rfam family: Bacterial small subunit ribosomal RNA
Source: RNAcentral